This 439-nucleotide ribosomal RNA is filed under the name uncultured bacterium. RNAcentral describes it as "partial 16S ribosomal RNA". It matches the Rfam family "Bacterial small subunit ribosomal RNA", at positions 338 to 795 of the family's 1533-position model. The record is from RNAcentral.
CCUACGGGGGGCAGCAGUGGGGAAUAUUGCACAAUGGGGGCAACCCUGAUGCAGCGACGCCGCGUGAGUGAAGAAGUAUUUCGGUAUGUAAAGCUCUAUCAGCAGGGAAGAUAAUGACGGUACCUGACUCAGUAGCACCGUCAAACUACGUGCCAGCAGCCGCGGUAAUACGUAGGGGGCAAGCGUUAUCCGGUUUAUUGGGUGUAAAGGGUGCGUAGGUGGGAAGGCAAGUCAGAUGUGAAAGCCAGGAGCUCAACCCCGGUAGUGCAGUUGAAACUGUCCAGCUGGAGUGAAGGAGAGGUAAGCGGAAUGCGUGGUGUAGCGGUGAAAUGCGUAGAUAUUAGGAGGAACACCAGUGGCGAAGGCGGCUUACUGGACUGUAACUGACACUGAGGCACGAAAGCGUGGGGAGCGAACAGGAUUAGAUACCCUAGUAGUC